Molecule: ribosomal RNA, 300 nt
Filed under: uncultured Desulfuromusa sp.
Lineage: Bacteria; Pseudomonadati; Thermodesulfobacteriota; Desulfuromonadia; Desulfuromonadales; Geopsychrobacteraceae
Description: bacterial SSU rRNA
Rfam family: Bacterial small subunit ribosomal RNA (bases 52-300)
Source: RNAcentral
GGUGACGGGGGGGCAGGAGUCGAGGGAAGAGAGGGUGGGCCAGCGUUAGUCGGAAUUAUGGGGCGUAAAUGGCGCGUAGGCGGUGAUUUAAGUGAGAUGUGGAAUCCCCGGGCUUAACCUGGGAACUGCAUCUCAGACUGGAUCGCUAGAGUGCUGGAGAGGGUGGUAGAAUUCCACGUGUAGCGGUGAAAUGCGUAGAGAUGUGGAGGAAUACCAGUGGCGAAGGCGGCCACCUGGACAGUAACUGACGCUGAGGCGCGAAAGUGUGGGUAGCAAACAGGAUUAGAUACCCCUGUAGUC